RNAcentral lists this ribosomal RNA (468 nucleotides) under uncultured bacterium. Its description in RNAcentral is "partial 16S ribosomal RNA". It matches the Rfam family "Bacterial small subunit ribosomal RNA", at positions 28 to 507 of the family's 1533-position model. The record is from RNAcentral.
GGCGAACGCUGGCGGCGUGCUUAACACAUGCAAGUCGAACGGAAAGGCCCUGCUUUUGUGGGGUGCUCGAGUGGCGAACGGGUGAGUAACACGUGAGUAACCUGCCCUUGACUUUGGGAUAACUUCAGGAAACUGGGGCUAAUACCUGAUAGGAGCUCCUGCUGCAUGGUGUGGGUUGGAAAGUUUCGGCGGUUGGGGAUGGACUCGCGGCUUAUCAGCUUGUUGGUGGGGUAGUGGCUUACCAAGGCUUUGACGGGUAGCCGGCCUGAGAGGGUGACCGGCCACAUUGGGACUGAGAUACGGCACAGACUCGUACGGGAGGCAGCAGUGGGGAAUAUUGCACAAGGGGCGGAAGCCUGAUGCAGCAAAGCCGCGUGCGGGAUGACGGGAUUCGGGUUGUAAACCGCUUUCGCCUGUGACGAAGCGUGAGUGACGGUAAUGGGUAAAGAAGCACCGGCUAACUACGUG